AGUUAAAUUAAGAACAACACAAAUAAACAAGCAUCUAGUCGAUCGAUCUCAUCUCACUAUCCAAGUGGCCAAGCCCAUGUACAAUGCACAUCAACAGCAAUUCAAACGCUCGCUUACUGACGGAUAGUAUAGAACAAUAUAGAGAUAUUUAUAUACGAAUAAUCUCGAGUGGACAUGCGGCUACGCUGCCGUUAUCCAGUCCACACACUAUCUCGUGAUUCGUGCACUUUUAAUACGAGCUCGUUGUAUAAUGAAUGAGAACUCUAGUAUAACAAUCUGUAUCCUGCGUAUUCUCACGAAGCUGACACGCUCAGACGAUGGGGCCGCAGCGCAGCAACGCGGUGUCCAAUGGCUACUUGCAGCUGGCGCAACGGCUAGUUGCAUUCAUCUCCGUUUCCCAGUCUACAUAAACACCUCGCGCAAAUCAUAUUCGCACUCGUCCUCACUCAAAUCCUCGUUCGCCCGCCCCGCUCAACACCAUGUGUUCAUCCAAGUCACAGCUUAGCUCCACCCCUCCUGCGUCGCACCACACCGCCAACCAGGUUCCCCCUCUACCUCUCAUCCGUUGCCCAGAGUGCAACGCCGGAUUCGUAGUGUGGUUUGUCUCUGGGACUGUAGAAAACCCAGGAAGGCACUUCUACAAGUGCGAAAGGCAUGGAUUCGGCCGCUGCAGGUUUUGGAAGUGGGAGAACAAGUACAUUCAGUACUUCAGCGCCCGUUGGGGACACCUCAUUUCACAUGCAUCAGUCCAUCGCCAUGUAUCUCUGCUUGAAGAAAACCAAGCAUGGCUGAAGAACAUCUUUGCGCUUGGCGUCGUCAACCUGGUGGUCAUGGCAAUGAUUUGCACGCUGAAGUUCUAAGAGCGCCUGAGUCGAUGUAGGUCACCGUAUGGUUGUAGCUAGCUGUUUUUCAGAGUGCUACGUGGUUUUAGCUGCCUGGUCGAUGUGUUUCGUGUCGUUGCAUCUUGAUGUAAGCACAGGGCCAAUCAAUAAUACACGCGAGCGUUUUCUUUUCA
Molecule: long non-coding RNA, 1015 nt
Organism: Triticum aestivum (bread wheat)
Lineage: Eukaryota; Viridiplantae; Streptophyta; Magnoliopsida; Poales; Poaceae
Exons: 2
Source: RefSeq, a predicted model, not a curated record